This 229-nucleotide long non-coding RNA is filed under the name Capsicum annuum. RNAcentral's name for it is "long non-coding RNA (CANN_LNC009818)". The record is from RNAcentral. Lineage: Eukaryota; Viridiplantae; Streptophyta; Magnoliopsida; Solanales; Solanaceae.
GGGGGCCUAUAUAUGAUAUUAAUAUCCUUGAAUACAUCUGAAUAAUUGUAUUGUAUUGUUGAAAUGCCUAAUAUGGUACCACUGGUGUAUUGUGAUAUAUUCAUACUUGUUAGCAUAUGAAACAUGUGGAAACUUAUGCAUGGUUGGAAACAAUGAGUGGAUAUUAGCCCACGUGGUUGUGAAAAUAUAUCAUUGUGGUUGGUUGUGGAAAUACAUCAUGUGAUAGGUU